AUCCAAUUGACGAGUCCAAAACAGAACGUAAUGCUCAUCUUAUAU
This 45-nucleotide non-coding RNA is filed under the name Schistosoma mattheei. Lineage: Eukaryota; Metazoa; Platyhelminthes; Trematoda; Strigeidida; Schistosomatidae. The record is from RNAcentral.